RNAcentral lists this ribosomal RNA (437 nucleotides) under uncultured bacterium. RNAcentral's name for it is "bacterial SSU rRNA". It matches the Rfam family "Bacterial small subunit ribosomal RNA", at positions 28 to 507 of the family's 1533-position model. The record is from RNAcentral.
GACGAACGCUGGCGGUGUGCUUCACACAUGCAAGUCGAACGAGGUAGCAAUACCUAGUGGCGGACGGGUGAGUAACGCGUGGGAAUCUGCCUUUAGAUGGGGGAUAACGGGUCGAAAGACUCGCUAAUACCGCAUAUGACGAAAGUUGAAAGGAGUAAUCCGUCUAAAGAUGAGCCCGCGUCCGAUUAGCUAGUUGGUAGAGUAAAAGCCUACCAAGGCGACGAUCGGUAGCUGGUCUGAGAGGAUGAUCAGCCACAAUAGGGACUGAGACACGGCCCAUACUCCUACGGGAGGCAGCAGUGGGAAUUUUACGCAAUGGGCGAAAGCCUGACGUAGCGACACCGCGUGAGCGAAGAAGCCCCUUGGGGUGUAAAGCUCUGUCAGCUGGAACAAAAAAAAUGACGGUACCAGCAGAGGAAGCAUCGGCUAACUACGUG